UCAGUCGGCUGGACGGCCGCUCGGGCCGACGCCGAAAGGUGGUCCGGGAGGAAAGUCCGGGCUCCAUGGACAUGCGGUGCCGGAUAACGUCCGGCGGGGGUAACCCCAGGGACAGUGCCACAGAGAACAGACCGCCGCGCCGGGUUGCGUAUGCGCGGUAAGGGUGAAACGGUGCGGUAAGAGCGCACCGCGUUGCCGGCGACGGUAACGGCACGGCAAACCCCACCGGGAGCAAGACCGAAUAGGAACGGCGCGGGGCGCAAGCUCCAGGAUGGAUGUCCAGAUCCUGCCGUUCGGGUAGGUUGCUUGAGUCGCCGGGCAACCGGCGUCCCAGAGGAAUGGUCGUCACGCGUGCGGCAUCCGUCGCACGCCCUACAGAAC
This 381-nucleotide RNase P RNA is filed under the name Bradyrhizobiaceae bacterium. RNAcentral's name for it is "partial RNase P RNA component class A". It matches the Rfam family "Bacterial RNase P class A". From Rfam's summary of the family: Ribonuclease P (RNase P) is a ubiquitous endoribonuclease, found in archaea, bacteria and eukarya as well as chloroplasts and mitochondria. Its best characterised activity is the generation of mature 5'-ends of tRNAs by cleaving the 5'-leader elements of precursor-tRNAs. Cellular RNase Ps are ribonucleoproteins. Lineage: Bacteria; Pseudomonadati; Pseudomonadota; Alphaproteobacteria; Hyphomicrobiales; Nitrobacteraceae. The record is from RNAcentral.